This 356-nucleotide ribosomal RNA is filed under the name uncultured Glomeraceae. RNAcentral describes it as "SSU rRNA". It matches the Rfam family "Eukaryotic small subunit ribosomal RNA", at positions 569 to 929 of the family's 1831-position model. The record is from RNAcentral. Lineage: Eukaryota; Fungi; Glomeromycota; Glomeromycetes; Glomerales; Glomeraceae.
AGCAGCCGCGGUAAUUCCAGCUCCAAUAGCGUAUAUUAAAGUUGUUGCAGUUAAAAAGCUCGUAGUUGAAUUUCGGGAUUAGUGCGCCGGUCGUGCCUUCGGUAUGUACUGGUGUUACUGGUUCCUACCUUCUGACGAACCGUCAUGUCAUUAAUUUGGUGUGGCGGGGAAUCAGGACUGUUACUUUGAAAAAAUUAGAGUGUUUAAAGCAGGCUCGCGCUUGAAUACAUUAGCAUGGAAUAAUGAAAUAGGACGUUCGAUCCUAUUUUGUUGGUUUCUAGGAUUGACGUAAUGAUUAAUAGGGAUAGUUGGGGGCAUUAGUAUUCAAUUGUCAGAGGUGAAAUUCUUGGAUUUAU